GGUGAGGUGGCUCAUGUAGUAGAGCACUGCUUUGCAAAUAGGAGGCCCUGAGUUCAAACCUCAGUACCACCA
RNAcentral lists this transfer RNA (72 nucleotides) under Dipodomys ordii (Ord's kangaroo rat). It matches the Rfam family "tRNA". Rfam says of the family: Transfer RNA (tRNA) molecules are approximately 80 nucleotides in length. Their secondary structure includes four short double-helical elements and three loops (D, anti-codon, and T loops). The record is from Rfam by way of RNAcentral. Lineage: Eukaryota; Metazoa; Chordata; Mammalia; Rodentia; Heteromyidae.